AUCUUUUGAUUUUCCUUGAGGCUUCCUCUUUGACCUUUAGAAUACUUAGAAGUGUGUUGCUUAGUUUCCAAGUGUUUAGAGAUUUUGAAGUUUUGAUAUCAGGGUAAUAAUAACUUUCAUAUACUUACAAGUUUUUUUAUAUCAGUGAAUUCUAACAUCUGAAAAAAUAUCCUUUGUAGACCAUUGCCUUGAUACUGUUUUCAGAAAGCGUGGUCUAACUUGAUUUUCUAAUGCCAUUUAUUGAGCACACCCUGUGUACUUCUCUGGCCUCAGCUGAUGCUCUGCCUUUGCUCAGCCUGGUUCAGCCACACUGUUCUUUCUGUUACCACCCGAACAUAUCAACCUCUCAUCCCUUCAGGGCCUCUGCACAUGCUGUUCUUCUAAAUCUUCCAUAGCGGGCUCUUUUGCAUCACUCACGGCUCAGUGCAAAUGUCACUUCCUCAGUGAUGCCUUCCCUGGCAACCCCAUCUAAAGUAUCAUCCCCCCUGAAACCACCUACUUCCCUAUUAAAUCACCUUGUUUUGUGUUCUUUUUCGUAGCAUUUAUCACUAUUGAAAACAUUUUACUUAUUGCUAGUCUUGUCUAUUGUUUGUUUCACUCCACUUGAAUACAAGGUUCUUGAGAGCACAGGAUCUGUGCUUAUUCGUUGCUGAACCCCUAGCACUUAGUAUUCAAUAAAUACAUUGUGAAUGAAUUAGAGUGGACAUUCAAAAAUAAAUAUUGAAUACAUUAAUGAAUUCUAGACCCUGUAGUGGGCAAUUAGAAUACACAAAUAUGAAUAAGGAGUAAUUCUGGCCCUCGAUGAGCAUACACACAUGCAUACACAAUGAAUUUUCUAAUGAAAAUCAGUCUCCUAAUGCUUCUUAGCCAGGAGCCACAGGAUAUGCUCUAACAGUUUUUAGUUUUCCCCCAGCAGUGAAGAGGGCUUAACACUUACUAAGCAUAAGUUCUUACCCAGUUCACUCUGGGGACUACCCCACCACAUUGCUAAGUGAGUCAAUGGGGAGAAGCACAGGCACUGGUAACACAGCAUCAUGAAAGAGUUUUGCUGCAACCUUAACCUUAUUGUCAUCAUUGAGCAAUUAGCUGAGCACAGCAGCCAUGGAAAUCCUCAUUAACAACUAGGAAGUGGGACGGUAUCGCUGGCAUAUGGAGAUGUUGAAGGGUUUCCUGAUCAACGUUUCCCAUGGUGUGCUUCUCAGAACACUGAGUCUCAGGAUGUUAAUAGAUGUUAAGUAAAUAAAAUGAUGUGUGGGUACCUUGGAAAUGCUGACUUAGAAGAAGCAUAAACAGAUUCCUUUACUUCAAAAUUCUUAAUAUGCUAGUACAGAUUUACAAAGAAGGUAACAGUAUGGACUAAUUCUCAACAUUAUUUGACCAGUGUUAUGAGUUGAAUUGUGUCCCCUCAAAAAUAUAUGUUGAUGUCCUUGGAACCAACCUAAAUGACCAUCGACAGAUGAAUGGAUAAAGAAGAUGUGGCACAUAUAUAGUGGAAUAUUACUCAGCCAUAAAAAGAAAUGAAAUUGAGUUAUUUGUAGUGAGGUGGUUGGACCUAGGGUCUGUCAUACGGAGUGAAGUAAGUCAGAAAGAGAAAAAAAAAAUACCAUGUGCUAACACAUAUAUAUGGAAUCUAAAAGAAAAAAAAUUGGUACUGAUGAACCUAGUUGCAGGGCAGGAAUAAAGAGGUAGACGUAGAGAAUGGACUUGAGGACACGGGGUGGGAGGGUGAAGCUGGGGUGAAGUGAGAGUAGCAUCGACAUAUACACACUACCAAGUGUAAAGUAGUUGGCUGGUGGGAAGCAGCGGCAUAGCACAGGGAGAUCGACUCGGUGCUUUGCGAUGACCUACAGGGGUGGGAUAAGGAGGAUGGGAGGGAGGCUCAAGAGGGAGGGGAUAUGGGGACAUGUGUAUGCAUGUGGCUGAUUCGCUUUGUUGUGCAAUAGAAACUAACACAGUAUUGUGAAGUAAUUAUACUCCAGUACAGAUCUGUUUAAAAAAAAAAAGAAAAUACAAUUCCUCCUAUUAAUAAAGAUAAUGAUAAUAUUCUUUAUUAUGUAAAAAAUAUAUAUAUUUAUGUUGAUGUCCUAACCACCAGCACCUCAGAAUGUGAACUUAUUUGGAAAUGGGGUCACUGUAAUUAGCUAAGAAGUCAUACUUGUAUAGGGUGGGCCUUUAAUCCAGUAUAACUGGUGUCCUUAUAAGAAGAACAGAGAGACACAUACAGAGAGAGGAAGGCCAUGUGAGGGGGGCAGAGAUUAGAGUGAUACAUCUACAUGUCAAGGGAUGCCAAGGAUUGCUGAUUGUCACCAGAAGCCAGGGGAGAAGAAUGGAACAGAUUCCUACUCAAAGGCCUCAGAAAGAACCAAUCUUGCCAGCACCUUGAUUUCAGACUUCUGGCCUCCAGAACCCUGAGAGAAUACAUUUCUAUUGUGUUAAGUCACUGUUUUAGUCCAUUUGGUUUGCUAGAACAAAAUAUCACAGGAUAGCUCGUAAACAACAAAAAUUUAUUUCUCACAGUUUUGGAAAAUGGAAGUCAGAGACCAGGGUGCCAGCAUGGUUGGUUAAGUGCCCUCUUCUGGGUUGCAGACUUCUCACUGUGUCCUUAUGUGGCAGAAGGGGACGAGGGAGCUCUGUGGGGUCUUUUUUAUAAGUGCACUAAUCCCGUUCAUGAGGGCUCUGCCUUCAUGACCUAAGCACCUCCCAAAGACCCUACCUUCUAGUACUGGCAUAUUGGGCGUUAGGAUUCCACAUGUGAAUUUUGGGGGAACACAAAUAUUCAGACCAUAGCAGUCACCCAAUUUGUGGUAAUUUGUUAUGGCAACCCUAGGAAACUAAUACCAGAGAACUCUUGUUCAAGGAGCAUCUUGAGAGAACAGUCUUUCAAAGACACUUUUCUAGGUGACUUUCCAUGUUGAAAUGUGAUUCUCCAGCUGCUUGUUUAUCGUCUGUAUUUAAAUGAAUAGUAAAGAGAGCUUAGUUGAGAGAUCCCUAUUCCGUGGUCUUAGAGCCGACAUUUUGAAGAUUUUACUGUUGCAGUGGGUGCUGUUGUUUACUUGGCAGAGGAUAUUUAGCCUUGAGAAGUCAUGAUUUACCAGAAUCUCUUCGUGAAGGUGCUGAUAAAUCGGAGACAAAGAUUAUAGUCUUCCCAGAGACCUGCAGUAGCCCCUGGAAGCCUGUUAGAGGAAACCUGAAUGUUGUAAUAGAAGGAGCUCUGGGGCUGGACAGCCCAUGGGUUCAAAACCAAGGUUUGAGGCCUGGGAUGAAUCACUGGGCUGCUCUACACUUGGAUUUUGCAUGUGAAAACCAGAGAUACUAAUGAUAAUAGCUCUGACACUGGCCACCUCGCCAGGUAACUGCAAAUUGUGAAAAGCAUUAUAAAUUUAAGGUUCUUAUUAGGUAAAAAAUGGCUCUUUUGUUUAGCAGAGUCUGGUCAUAGAGUUUUUUCUGUCAAAAUUUGAUGUACAUAUUCUAGAGGUAAAAUAGCUUUUACUGAACCAUGGACUUAUUUCUAAUUUUCCUUGAUAUAGACCAACUCCUGAAAGGUCUUCUAACUUGUGCUAUAAUGGGAAUGACCAUGAGGAAUCAGAUGUAGUGUACAGAGAAAGAUUUUCUGGAUUGACACUUAUAAAUAUCUUAUUUAUUUUUUUCUAAAAUAUGCCCCAUUGUACUUCCAAAAGUAAUUUGAAUAUGUCUAUACAUAUAAAGCAUACGUACAUAUAAAAAAAUCAGAUGUCAUGUGUGGAGGGAAAAGAGCUGUACAGUUUCACUUACUCACUUAUUACUGAAAUAAUACAGAAUUUAUGUCACCUUUCUGGCAGUCAAAGAAAAAAGGAAAAUAGGAUGUUCCAUAGAUACCAAGUCUACUUUCAGGCUAUUACAAGUGCACUUAUAGGCACUAGAAUAGAACUGAUGCUUGUACCUUCUAAGGAAACUUUUUUUACGAGACAGGUUUGUAUUGGAAGAUAACCCUACUUGCAGGUAGUGCACAGAAGCCAGGACCUGGGGAAGCCGUAAGAGUUCCCUCAUUAGAAUAUAGUUAUCAGAGUGAUGUUUACUUAUCUAUUUAUUUAUUUUCUAUAUCUGCUUUCAGAGAUAUGGAAGGUAUAUUUAUAGGGGCCAUAAUAGAAAUAGAACCUUAUACAGGCAAACCUCGUUUUAUUGUACUUCACUUUAUUGUGCUUCACAGAUAACAUAUUUUUUACAAAUUGAAGAUUUGCAGCAAGGCUUGAGUUGUCAGAUGAUAGCACUUUUUAGCAAUAAAGUAUUUUUUUUAAAAUUAAGGUAUGUAGGUUGGGUUUUUUAGACAUAAUGCUAUUGAACACUUAAUAGACUAUAGUAUAGUGUAAACAUAGCUUUUAAAAAAUUUAUUGAAGUAUAGUUGAUUUACAAUGUUGUGUUAAUUUCUGCUGUACAGCAAAGUGAUUCAGUUUAUUUAUAUACAUUGUUUUUCGUAUUCUUUUCCGCUAUGGUUUAUCACUGGAUGUUGAAUAUAGUUCCCUGUGCUAUACACUACAUUUAUCCAUUUAAAUGUAACUUUUAUACGUAGCGGGAAACCAAAAUUUCGUGUGACUCACUUUAUUGUGAUGUUUGCUUUAUUGUGGUGGUCUGGAACCAAAACUGCAAUAUUUCUAAGGUAUGCCUGUAGUGUGGCAUGUUGCAAAUCUGGACAUCUACUGUUCCAUUUGCCCUGCCUUCUUUCUCUCUUCUUUUGGGAAUUGAAUCUCUCAUCUUCACUGUAUAAGUUAGUUUGGGGUUGCUACAUGUAGCCAGCGGGUCCUGACUACUUUUGAUAGCACCUUUUAGGUUUCGCUUGCCCAGCAUCUUUCUCCUCUUUUUCCUAACAGCACUUUGAUUUUCCUUUUGGGAACCGCCUUUCUCAUUCUUGGUCCUUGUAGAUGGGUUACAUUGACUCUUACACCCCCUUGUGACUGCAAGCAUGGAAAUGUGACUCAGGCAUAGCCAAUGAGACUUAUUUUCUGGGGUUUAAUUGGAAUCAGGGGGAAAGAGAAGCUGGAAAUGCCAGGGAUUAUUAAAUGGAGAGGGCCUGCCAAUGAACAAAGCUAAUACAGAAGAAAGUAGAACUCAGAGAGGAGAAAGAGAGACUGAGUCCUCUUGAUACCUUCAACUUCUGGAUCUUAGUAUGCCUAAACCCAGUUCAACCUCGGCUUUUUCAGCUACAUGAGCCAUUGCAUUCCUUUUUUCCUUGUUAUACGGGUUUGAGUUGGCUUUCUGUCACUUGCAGCUAAGAUCCUUGUUUGGUAACAAUGUCUGAAGUUGGCCUUACAUUGAGUAUUGAGAAUUGGGAGGGAAGCCCCAGAGCAUCUUUCCUCCCUACACAAAUUUAGGAAUUUUCUUAUGCUGAUUAGGUCUCCAGUCAAGACAAGUCACCAAAAGGUAGAAAACCAGAUGUAAAUAGAUUGUAGUCUAUCAACAUUGGAGUAUUAUUUAUUGAUGUUUUCCAUCAAUCAGUAUUUUAUCGGAUCAGUACUUACUCAGAAAUACUUUCAAACUUCCUUAGAAAGAGUGCCAACAAUAAGCCACUUAAAAUCAGAUGGCAGUAUUUACGUUAUCCAUGGGAAGAAUAAUUGCUGUGUAUAUUUUUGUGUCAAAGUCAUAAGAGUUAUGUUACUUUCUACUCAAGUCUUUCCUAGGAGGAUGGUUGGUAUUAAUCCACCUUUGUUAUACUCGAUCUACCACUUGUAAUGAACAUAGGAUAUUCUGAAAUCUUUCAGGUAAAAAGUAAGUCAGUGCUUCAGUUAAGUGAAUCUAUGCUGCUCUUUGGCAGGGACUGACCUGUGCUUUAUAUGUUUAAAAAAAAAAGAGGAAAAACAUUUCCUGCCUGGUGUAUUUAGACAAACAUUUGCCUUAUACAGUCUUUCCUUUAUGGAUAAUUUCUUUGUCCUCAUUCACUGUUGAUAAAUAUCAUGUUCAGUAUCCAAAAGACACAAUUUACAAAUGUUUUAAGCCUCAGCAGUUACAGUUUUUCCUUGUCGCAUCACUAUUUCUUGCUUUUGAUAGUUCUUUUUGUGGUUAUAAGACCUUUCUUAAUGACUACAUGUUUUCUUACUUUUGGUAAAACAUUUGAUCUUGGGUGGAUUGACUUUACCCUGCCUCCUCUGCUGCCUGGAUGGAUAAGAGGUGUUUCUUUAUUUGGGGUUUUGUUUUUUUGAUAAAACCAUUGGGUUUUUAUUCAUGUUUACUACUACAUAUAGAGGGCUUUCUUAUUUUUAAAGAAUCACUAAGAGCAUAUGCCUUUUGAAUUAAUAAUAUUCUUUGAAAAUUAUUUUAUUGAUUACUUCACAUUGUCUAAAGAUUCUAAAGUUAUAUGAACUUUCAUAAUUCAAAUUGUUGGGAAUAGAAUAAUCCCUCUUAGAUCUGAUACACUGGAGAAUAUCUUUCCACUCACAAAGAAAUUGAAGACUAUGUAAACUGCAAAGCACUUUGUUAAUUUUGAUGCUGUGUCAAAGCCAAAGCUUAAUUAUAAUACCUUUUAAUCCUAGUUCUAAACAAUCUGUAGGAAUUUGUUGUGUAAACAGAUUUAGUUUGGCACUCUCUAAACAUGAUGAUUUCGAAUAGGGUAUUCCUAAAAGAUGUUACGUUUUUAAAAGUACUUUUUAAUUUCCCCUUAUGCAAAAUUUUGGUUAUAUUCAGAUUGAAAAUCACUUUUUUAAAAUUGAAAAUUGGAAAAUUAAGAAUAUAGAAAUGAUCCAAUUAAUAUGAUACUCUCUAAAAACUAAAGCUAAUCCAUCCAGAGAAAUAUUUUCACAAGUAUCUUUUGAACUAGUAGGAUAAAUCCAGGGAACAGAAAUGCAACCGAAGUUAUCAGUAGACAGAAAAUUAUAUUCAAAUCUUAAAUGGGAGAUGGAUAUUUUAAAAAAAUUAUUAAAAAGCAUAGCUCAAGGAAUUUCAUCAUAAUUUUGGGAGGCAGAAUGUUCCUUCUGUCCUACUUUGGUGAGUAAUGUAUUCAGUCCUGACCAUCUCAUUACCUAUGAAAUGUAGACAAAGUGGAAGGAGUUCCAGAGAUAAGUAGCAGACAUGACCAAAGGCCUUGAAAAUCUAAUCCACGGGGGAAGAUUCGGUGAAACACAGCCUGCUUGGAAAUAGUACACAAGCUGAGCCAACACUGGGGGAAUAAUCAGGGUCAUGGGAGGAAGCAGCACAGUGGAGGAAACAGAGUGUAGUACAUGCAGCCGGCUUCAUUAGCAGUCUCAGAAGGGGGACUCACUGGGAUUGUGGAAAGGACAAGACAGCAAUUAAAACUAGGUAAAUAAACUCACAAGCACAUGUUAAGGAUUUUCAAAAAUAAAGUGAGGCAUAUUAAAAACUUUAAGAGUUGACUUGAGCAAAAAUCAAUUCUAACUGGGCAGCAGCCCAAACCAGAAGUGGUUAGGAAAGGAGCCUGGGGGAAGACUUAAAUAGAAAAAGCGGCGACCAAAGGAAAAAAUUACUUGAUUGGCUAUAGCUUGAUUCUAGUUGGCUGUUUGUGAUUGGCUGUCCUUAGUGUUUUAAUUUUGUAACUUUGAGGCAUUUGCAGGCUCGGGUUUUGGUUUGCUUACAAUGGCAUUAGAGCCACUGUGAGAAAUUCACAUGUAUUCCAUUUUCCUGGAAGUGGAAGCUCAUAGCAUGCUUUUAAAACAAACAAAACAAAACAAACGAACAAACAAAAAAAACCCCACAUCCUCCACAGUGUCUUUGUUAUAGGCAAGACUACCUGCUGCUUGAUUUCCAACAUAUGUGGGCUAAGUAAGUGUCAGUGUCCUGUCUUCUCAGCCAGUUUGGAGACAACUUAGUACAUUUGAUUAGUGUGUGUUAACAUGAUUAAACAUUCUAACUUCAAAAUUCUUCUUGACAGUUCAGUGGCUUUUUGAGCGCCUUCUCAUUUGGAAACAGAAAUUGAAGCCCACACUUAUCUCUUGGCUCUUCUCCACGGGUUGGUUUCUUUCCAGUUUGGGGAGAUCUAAAUAUCAACAUUGUUUUCCUCUACCUCCCUGGGAAGUGGAAGACGAGUUAACGUAAGCUUAAAUCAUGAGUUAGGCCUCUUUUCCUUUUCUCUUGAGGGCUACUCUCUUCUUCUACAUGCAGCCACAAACUUGCCAAGAAACUAGUGUCUGGUGACCCCCUGUGGUGGUACUCCAUUGGGCCCAGCUCUUUAUAGAGUUUACAGGAUCUUGGCUCUUCUUCUUCUUUCCUGCCAAAUUCCUCUGUUUAGAAUCCCAUUCCUUUUUCUUUUUUUUUUUUUUUAAUUGAACUGUAGUUGAUUUACAACGUUGUGUUAGUUUCUGGUGUACAACAAAGUGAUUCAGAUAUAUAUAUAUAUAUAUACACACACACACAUAUAUAUAUAUAAUUUCAUAUUAUUUUCCAUUAUGGUUUAUUACAGGAUAUUGAAUAUAGUUCCCUGUUCUAUACAGUAGGACCUUAUUGUUUACUUUAUAUAUAGUAGUUUGUAUCUGCUAAUCCCAAACUUGUAAUUUAUCCUUCCCCCAUCCCCUUUCCCCUUUGGUAACCAUAAAUUUGUUUUCUAUGUCUCUGAAUCUGUUUCUGUUUUGUAAAUAAUUUCAUUUGUAUCAUAUUUUAGAUUCCACAUAUAAGUGAUAUAAUAUGGUAAGUUUGUAAAGGAAUUCUAAACAUGAACAUAAUGUAAGUAAUAUUCCUCCUUCCCCAACUGUGUCUACCCUAGUCUUCAGAAAAAAAAAAAGGUGAAAUUUUUUUGGUUGUUGUGAAAAUGGUGACCAUGCUUAUUCUAAUGGUUUAUCAUUAUGAGUUCACUUAAUAACAUAGGAAAUUUCAUAUGCUCACUUAUUUACUUAUAAUUAGAGGCUAUCAGAGAAGUGUGAAUAUAUAGUCUGCCUUGAUUCUAGACAUCUUGAUUCAUAGUCGUAAUUGGUUGGUUGUUAUCUCCUUCAGGGGGGAACAGAGUCUUGGGGAGAGCAGGUUUAAUAUAUCUUUAGUCAACAAUCUACCAAUAAGAACUGAAUUUUGGUAAGACUAUAUAAAUUACAGCAAGAAAAAGAUUAAAAUGUCAGUCUUUACAAUUCUUGACCAACUUGGAUCAUGUUAUUCAUGCUGUCAUUUAUGUUUGAAACUCUUUAUUAACCCAACCCAAGAUUUUCUUCACCUACAUCCUUUCUCCAAACCUCUUCCUUUCCCAGAAUUCUCUCUUAGAUAAUGCCAUAAACAUCCUUCUAGUCACUGGCUGGAAAUCUUGAGACCAUUUCACCUCCUCAUUUUCCUUCAUCUUCUACAUUCUGUGAAAUACCAGUUCUAGUUGGUUCUGUCUAAAGAGUUCCUUUCAUAUGUGCCUUUUUGUUGUUGUUUAACACAAGCAUUGGCUGAUUGCAGGUUCUUGGUAUUUCUUGCUUGAAUAAGUACUAUACUCAAUUCAACUUGAGUAUAGGUUUCAAAUACUUGCCACCUUCCAUCCAGUAUGCCACUGCCCCUCUUAAAUGCUAUGAAAGUCUUUGCAUUGUAUUUGAGUCUCUUGUAUUGACCCUCUAGUUCAACUACAGUGGCCCACUAUUUCCCCAAGAAAGUCAUUUUCAGAUUUCUGCUUGGUUUAUGCUAGAAAUGGCAAAAUAGGUCUCAACCCUUAGGUCCAAAUCAGAAGCAACCUUUGACACUUUCCAUGUAAUCUGUAUCCUUCUGAGCUAGGAGACAGGGAAGGUUCAUUUGAUAGAGAAGGAAGACUGUAAUAGGACUAGAAACGUACCCUCCUUUUAGCUUCUUCAGCCUCUCCAUGCAUCCAGUGCCUUCCUUCUUUCCCUUCAAUAUGCUCUGAAUGCUGCUGCAUGCUCUGCUUCCUGACCGGGGCGUGGCUUAUUGGGAGGGUCUAGCUGAGAGCUGAAGAAAAGGGGAAAAGCUAAACUUCAAAAAGCAUGCACUUCGCAUGGACAUAGGGUCUGAGGCAUUCCUUGGGGAACACAGAGAACCAAGGACUUGGUGUUAACUCAGCCCAAUUAUUUAUUUACUUAAUCUGACUUCGUUGAUGACCACUUUUCCAAACUUAGGGACAGUUCCAUUUGCACCUCAGUCCUCUCCUGUAUAAAAACGUGAUGGUGAAUUUAAAAAAAAAAAAAAAAAACCAAACAGCCAUGUUUCUGCUUGAUGGUAUAUUUCUUAUCACAGCAAAAGUGUCUGAUUGAAAUGGUUAUAAUAGAGCAGAAGAAGCACAGAAGUUAAGGUAAGCGGACCUGUUUGAGUGUGAUGUAGACGUGCUUUUGAAGUACACUCCUGGUGCUCUCUUCUGCCCACACCUUCUCUCCGGCUGUGUGUAGUAGGAAUGAGGGGAGAAAGGGAGAGCGUGUCACAGAUUCUCCCCCACUGCCUAUGAUGUAGCCGCUUCCCCCAUGCAAAGAGGAGACAGACAGCCCUCAACCGGCUCACAGGCUGCUGUUUGAUGUAUUCUAGCCCUGCUAGCUGAGAGCAGACAGACAGUCCUUGUUGAGAGGAAGUUGUGGCCUGAACUCUAGGCUGAAAUGGAGACAAUUGGAUCACUGAACUAGAGGGGUGAAUAAGUUUCUCAGUUAUUAGGAAUUAGCACCAGAGUCCUACAUUGGGAAACACAUUCAGGCCACAGGUAAAAAGCAAACUGGUCAUGAUAAAGCUUGUGGAUCAUGGAGCGGCCCCGCUCUACUCACACCUGUACAUUUGCUAGAGGGGAGAAGUUUUUCCAAAAUGAGAAGUCAUAGCCUGUAAAUAUUAAGUGGCCAGCUGUGAACCACUGCAAAGCCAAUCUGGACACAUUUUAAUUGGAAUAAGAGCCAGAGAAGUAGCCAAAUGGACAUCUGCCAAAGGAAUGGAAGUAGAUCUUGGUAGUACUUGAUUGCCCACUGGGGAUAAAGGGCAGCAGAUCAAGUGGUGGAAGUUAGAACCUUGUGAGAACAGAAAUGGGGCUAGAAAGUAUGGCAAUGUAAGUUUUCUUUCCAUAGAUUAGCAACAACUAAAGGCAGAUAAAUCAUUCAUCCUUUAAAUCUUAACAUUUUCUUUGGAAUGAUAGUGUAGUUUACCUAAACUUUUUUCCUUAGUUCUGGUGAAAUAACUCGAAGUUUAAUUUCUUUGUGUAUAUUUCUUCAGUUCCUGCAUUGGCAGACCUUCAAAAUAAUAACCCCCCUUAGAUUUAAUACAAAGUCGGUUUAAACUAUGAUAAAAUUAUUUAGAUAUUGCUCUAGGUUCUUAUUGGAGUGUAAAUGUAUGCAUCUUAAUAGAAUGUUGGAUGGAAGUAGUCUCGAGCUAUCAUCCACAUCAAUGACUAGGGAUUUAACAAUGCAUUGUGAACUGAGUUCUUUUCUUCAUCUUCAGUUAUUUUGAACUUUUUCAUCUUCUCUGAGAGCAGGAAGGUGGGAUUUAAGGAAAGGAUAUCUGAGUGCUGGGACAGGCACACGUUCAGAGAAGACCAUUAUGAAAAUUCUGAAAUAAAGAGCAAGUAGAGCAUAGAGCCUGUCAUUCCCUUCAUGACAUGUUAAAGCGAGGCUAGUCCAGAAGGGAUUUUUUGGUGACUGCAUCAAGGCACACAACCAGUUUGGGAUGAAAAUUUGUUAACACCGAAUCUUGAAAAAUGAAGACGGAUGAACUAAUUUGUAAUCCUCAUCAUUAUUUUCUCCCUCUGGCUACAGGUAAUGGAAUGUGACUGUUAACUUUGUUGAGUGUGUGGAAAUGGUGCUGUGGAAAUAUUUCUUAAAAAAUAUAGCAUCUCCAACUGAUGUCUCUAACAUGAGAGACAUGUAUAAUUACAAAAAGAAGAUACAAUUCCAAUGGCAACUGGUAAUAGAAUCUUAGAGUUGAGAAGCAUCCUGGCCUGAAAUGUGACAGUAAAGAAGCCAGGGUAAGGGUUUGCACAGAAAAACUUAAGAUGUUUGGUUUCAGUCGUUGCAAAGGAGAAUGGUUUCUGCCUAGAGACUUAGUUUGGUGAUGUUAGAAAAUCACAAAGAUAAGAAGACUGAAUUAAAGACAUUUUAACUAGGCACCUCAAGAACAGUGGUCUCACAUUGAAAAUGUUUUGCAAAUCAAACGUUUGGUAACUUCAAUUCAGAUGCAUUUAAUGUGAACUCAAAUAUGUGGUAAGUAUGUGUAAUCAGAAAGCGUCUACUUUCUAUCAGUUUGUGGUUAUAUGAAGACAAUUGACGUUAAUUUCCAAGACUCACUAUUUGGUAGCCUUCUAGCGUGUAACCGUAAAGCACCAGCGCCCGGCACAGUUGUCCCCAAGGAGUGACCCACACCCUCUGCCGGGCGCUGUCUCAUCCCUGAGCCAGGCGCUUUGUCUUCUGGCCAUCAGCCUGGCCUUAGGGACAGCCCUAAGUUGGGUCGUGUCCUCAUGGGGGAUCCUCCUGGCAGUUGUCUUCUGAAACAGCCCAACUGUCACCACCUUCAAUUGCUAAAAUGACAAAACCCUACGGUAUGAAACAAUCCUGUGUCCCCUUCAGUCCUCAGUCUACCCAGGGGCCACAUUGUAGUCUGUGUGGAGUUGGUUGUCUUUUUCCUAUUUUGAACUUCACUUUGGAUCUGGACCCUUUUUACUUGUGCUCUGAGUCUUACUAAGUCAUUUGUGAAAACAGUCCUUUGAUUUUCUGCUUGAGAGUAACUUCCUUUUAGAGGCUAAAAAACUGGCUGGUACUAGACCAGAGGCCGUCACAUUUCCCUUUCAGUCCUCCACUGGGUUCCAGGAAAUAAAUCAUCCCCUAUAAUUAGACCCCGAUGUGUUGCCCCAGCAAUAGCACUUCAUCAUUCACCCCCUGAAAAGACUGCAUUUCCUUUAGGGCCAUCCAGAACCACUGCUGAUGCAUAGCAAAAGCCAACUCUAUUGUAAAGACAGUAGAGCCAUAAAACUCUGCAAAAUUCACACAUCUAAAAUUGUUUCCAGACAGACCUACAGUCUUUAAUGUCAUCCCCUUCUCUCCUCACGCCAAACACCUCUUUCCAGUAACUCCAGAAAGUGAAGAGAUAUGGUAAACCUGAAACUUCUGUGUGACAAAGAGCUCUACAGUUGUGAUUGCUUGCAGCACAUGUAGUCAACAGGGGAGCUGGGAAAGUUUAUUUCUACUUCAUUCAGGUGGUUUCAUGUUUUUGAAGAAAGUGAGGAAGAGAUUUGGUUGGCUAUUGCAGAAGGGAGCAUGCAGGACCCUCCAUCUCUCUAACAGAUAAGAGGUGCAAUACCACCCUUUAACCCCUAGUAAGCACUCAAAUAUUCGCCAAGCUUAGUAAGACUUGCCAUAAAUACCUAACAGACUGAAAUUACCAUCUGCAAAAUGUUUUCCUGUGAGAGUGCAUUAUGAAGUUAAAUUUAUUCUGUGAAAUUCUGUCAACUAGUAAUUAAUGUAACUAAAGUAGAAAAUUUUUGUGGAAUGGAAAAUUGCUUUUAGUUGUACUAUUGUUCAGGAAGAACAAUUUAAGAACAUCUGGAUUCUGUGUUCUUAGCUCAUCGUCCUAGUUUAUUGUGUUGCUUUUAUUCUCCUGUAGGUGGUAAAACAGUGAUUCAAAGACUAAGAUAAAAUAUAAACGUGACUCUCCUUUUUAGGUCCUUAAGAGUAGAGAGGGGUAUCUUUUGGAGAUAUUUAAAGGGCUGGAUUAUCAGCAACUUUGUAAAUGUUUAGGAUUCAGUACAACUCAAUUUGGGUUUGGCUGUUAACUUACAUCUGUAAUUUUUGACAUCGCAUCCAUUUUAGGGCUAACAUAAUGUGUUGAUUUAUGAGCACUCAGAAAUCCACAAACAUUAUAAAUGAAUAAAUAAGACAGAAUAUCAAGCACGAAAAGUGUUUCUAUUAAUAAGGAUAAGAAUUUUGCUUUCAGCAAAUGAAGUAUGGCAUGGGUUUACUUCCCCCAGCAUCUGUUCAGAAGUCUCAGAAUUUGAACACUUCGUGCAUUCUCUCUUUUGCUCUGUGUUCCUUUUGGGAAAAUUCCUUGAACUGUGAUCUAGAGAAGGUGAGAGGUGGACUGGUCUUCUCUUCAGACUAGUACAUUUCCUUCUAUUUAGUUGAUUUUUAAAAUCUUAACUGGAAAUAAGAAUAGCUGCCUUCUCCUAGUCGGAAUGCCUUUUGCCACCUACUAGUUGUGUGACACUCGGCAAGUUAGCUGACUGAGCCUUACUUUUGUGAUCCGUAAAGUGGGAAUAAUAUCUUCCCUGAUACGGUGUUUAAGGGGAUUAGAAGAAAUAGUGUAUGUAAAGUACUUAGCAUAGUGUAUGACCAAAGUAAAACCUCAUUUAUCAUUACUGAAGAAAAUUCUCCAGAUGAAGCCAUGUUCCUCUUUCCCUCCGUAAAGCAUUCUGGCAGAUGCCCAUGGAAUGCUGAAUGCUCAGGGCUAGAAGCUACUCAAGAAGGUGUGGUCGAGGACCAACAGCAUUGGCAUCACCUGGGUGAUCACCUGGUAUCACCUUGGUAGAAAUGCAGAUUUUUAGGUCUCAACCCCAGACCUACUGAAUAGGAGUCUGUAUUUCAGUGAUCCCCAGGUGAUUCGUAAACACAGUAAAGUUUAAACAGCACUGUGACAAGUACACCUGCUUAACAAGUGUUUGCUCCAAAACCAUUUGAUACCAGUUGCUCUUGCUUUUGUAAUUACAUAAUUUAACUAUCACAUAAAGCUAAAUAAGAGUGUGAAAAGGGAGAGUUGUUGUUUUUAAGAAAACUAAAUUAAAUGCUUUAGAACAAUAAUAGUGAAGUAAGUGUGGGUGAGGCAACCAUAAAGAUUGGGAAAAUGGUAAAGAUCUGUAAGAUUGUGAGCUCUGAGUUCUUCUCUUGCAUGUUUUAGUUUCUAGAUUUCACUGUAAAGAAGUUUAAUACCACCUAGUCAGUGGCUGGGGCCACCCAGAAAAGAGUGUGUGCUCAGCCCAAAAGAUGAGGGGGACCUGGAAUUAACAGCUGCCAGCUAACUGCACAUCUGGGCAGCCAGUCCUUUCUUACAGGGGAGAAUCAAGGGGCACUCACGAUGUCUGCCACCGUCUCCAUCUGUUUCUUAAAAAUGCAAACCUAUGACUACUUGCAUGGUAUAAAUAAAUAAGCCUACGAGACCAAUUUCUUAUCUACUUUAUUGAAUGAAGACACCUACAAAUGUGAAGACUUUGAACAUCCCAAGUGCAAAAAUUUAUACACUUUAAUGAUGGCAUUUGAAACUUGACAAGUAAUCGUGCUCUAUGCACACCAGUCUAUAAAUAUAGUCAACAGUCGUCCCCAGAGCUGUGAAGUGACUCUUGACUGAUUUUCAAAUUAUUGUGAAUUUGCUAGCUAAUCAAAAUUCUGAACACAAAUUGGCUCGGUCAGGAUGCAUGAUGCAUAUCUAAACCACCAAGGAAAUACCCGAGCGGCUUUAGGAAUUCGUCUUCCAUCAUCUCUAGUACGUUUUACAGACCACAAAUAGCCAGUGGAGAAGGGUGUUUCUCUGUAGCAUCUAUCACAGUCUCAAGCUUUCUUACAUAAAGGCAAACUGAUGUGGUAAAAAAGAGUGAUACUUGAAGUGAGAAGGCCUGUGUUUGAGAAUGGCCUCUGUCAUUCAGUUCCUGACUUGAUGUCAUUGGGGAUUGGUGGUCCCAACGUCUACCUCACAGAAACUUGGGAGGGAUUA
Orcinus orca (killer whale) is the source of this 15549-nucleotide long non-coding RNA. RefSeq lists it as uncharacterized. Lineage: Eukaryota; Metazoa; Chordata; Mammalia; Artiodactyla; Delphinidae. The transcript has 3 exons. The record is from RefSeq and is a predicted model, not a curated record.